GGUGGCAUGGCCAAGUGGUAAGGCGGAAGCCUGCAAAGCUUCUAUUCCCCAGUUCGAAUCUGGGUGCCACCU
Molecule: transfer RNA, 72 nt
Filed under: Candidatus Amphrikana amoebophyrae
Lineage: Bacteria; Pseudomonadati; Chlamydiota; Chlamydiia; Parachlamydiales; Simkaniaceae
Description: tRNA-Cys
Rfam family: tRNA
About the family: Transfer RNA (tRNA) molecules are approximately 80 nucleotides in length. Their secondary structure includes four short double-helical elements and three loops (D, anti-codon, and T loops).
Source: RNAcentral